GCUGGGCACCGUGGCGCAUGCCUGUAAUCCCAGCAGCUCGGAGGCUGAGGCAAGAGGAUUGCGAGUUCAAAGCCAUCCUCAGCAGUAAGGCAGCAAGACCCUGUCUCUA
RNAcentral lists this small RNA (109 nucleotides) under Marmota monax (woodchuck). Lineage: Eukaryota; Metazoa; Chordata; Mammalia; Rodentia; Sciuridae. The record is from RNAcentral.